UACGGAGGGUGCAAACGUUGCUCGGAAUUAUUGGGCGUAAAGCGCACGUAGGCGGUUUGGUAAGUCGGAUGUGAAAGCCCUCGGCUCAACCGAGGAAGUGCAUUCGAAACUGCCAGACUUGAGUAUGGAAGAGGGUCGCGGAAUUCCCGGUGUAGAGGUGAAAUUCGUAGAUAUCGGGAGGAACACCAGUGGCGAAGGCGGCGACCUGGGCCAAUACUGGACGCUGAGGUGCGAAAGCGUGGGAGCAAACAGG
RNAcentral lists this ribosomal RNA (253 nucleotides) under uncultured bacterium. Its description in RNAcentral is "partial 16S ribosomal RNA". It matches the Rfam family "Bacterial small subunit ribosomal RNA", at positions 524 to 776 of the family's 1533-position model. The record is from RNAcentral.